RNAcentral lists this ribosomal RNA (775 nucleotides) under uncultured Neocallimastigales. RNAcentral describes it as "partial large subunit ribosomal RNA". It matches the Rfam family "Eukaryotic large subunit ribosomal RNA", at positions 24 to 649 of the family's 3401-position model. The record is from RNAcentral. Lineage: Eukaryota; Fungi; Neocallimastigomycota; Neocallimastigomycetes; Neocallimastigales.
UAUCUCUGUAGAGUCUGCAUAUCAAUAAGCGGAGGAAAAGUAACUAACUAGGAUUCCCUCAGUAACGGCGAGUGAAGCGGGAAGAGCUCAAAUUUGAAAUCUUCAAGGUUCUACCUUGACGAAUUGUAGUUUAAAGAAGUGUUUUCUGUUGGAGUUUUGGUAAAAGUUCUUUGGAAUAGGACAUCAUAGAGGGUGAGAAUCCCGUAUUUGACCAUUAUUUUCCAGCUGUGUGAUACACUUUCAAAGAGUCGGAUUGUUUGGGAAUGCAGUCCAAAAUGGGUGGUAAAUUUCAUCUAAAGCUAAAUACUGGCGAGAGACCGAUAGCGAACAAGUACCGUGAGGGAAAGAUGAAAAGAACUUUGAAAAGAGAGUUAAACAGUACGUGAAAUUGUCAAAAGGGAAGCGUUUGACACCAGUGUUGUUUUCUCGAAAAUCAAUUAAAAAUGGCGGGAUUUUGUGUUGUAUUGACUUUAUCAGCUUUCUGCACUUUUUUCCUGUCUUUUUUAAUGCACUUCUCGUUUAACAAGUCAACAUCAAUUUCUUUUGUUGUAAAAGGGUCAUUGGAAGGUGGCUUUCUUUUCGGAGAAAGUGUUUAUAGCCUUUGGCCUCUGCAAUCGGAGAGAUUGAGGUCUGCAGCGUAGAUCCUUCGGGGUUAGAUGCAUUUGUGCUAAGCUAUAGCCUUUCAUAGACAACUUGUUGACUAUGAUCAGUCAUGUAGCUUACUCGCUUAUGUCAUUUUACCUACGCUUAGGAUGUUGAGUAGCGACAUACGCAC